This 500-nucleotide ribosomal RNA is filed under the name uncultured bacterium. RNAcentral describes it as "partial 16S ribosomal RNA". It matches the Rfam family "Bacterial small subunit ribosomal RNA", at positions 30 to 523 of the family's 1533-position model. The record is from RNAcentral.
AUUGAACGCUGGCGGAAUGCUUUACACAUGCAAGUCGAACGGCAGCACGGACUUCGGUCUGGUGGCGAGUGGCGAACGGGUGAGUAAUGUAUCGGAACGUGCCCAGUCGUGGGGGAUAACGUAGUGAGAAUUACGCUAAUACCGCAUACGAUCUAUGGAUGAAAGCGGGGGAUCGCAAGACCUCGCGCGAUUGGAGCGGCCGAUAUCAGAUUAGGUAGUUGGUGGGGUAAAGGCCCACCAAGCCAACGAUCUGUAGCUGGUCUGAGAGGACGACCAGCCACACUGGAACUGGGCAACGGUCCAGACUCCUACGGGAGGCAGCAGUGGGGAAUUUUGGACAAGGAGCGAAAGCCUGAUUCAGCCAUUCCGCGUGCAGGAUGAAGGCCCUCGGGUUGUAAACUGCUUUUGUAAAGAACGAAAAGGUUUCUACUAAUACUAGGAGCUCAUGACGGUACUGUAAGAAUAAGCACCGGCUAACUACGUGCCAGCCGCCGCCGUAA